ACCUCGAUUGUGUGGUGGUAAACACACGUCCCCGGUAUGGAUGAAACGCGGGUUCAACUUCCGUCUGGGGCU
Molecule: non-coding RNA, 72 nt
Organism: Parelaphostrongylus tenuis
Lineage: Eukaryota; Metazoa; Nematoda; Chromadorea; Rhabditida; Metastrongylidae
Source: the annotation of a GenBank genome assembly